CAUAACUCAGGGAAACUUGAGCUAAUAUCUGAUGAGGCCUCCGGGUCAAAGCUUCGGCGGUAAAGGAUGAGUCUGCGUCUGAUUAGCUAGUUGGUAAGGUAAUGGCUUACCAAGGCGACGAUCAGUAACUGGUCUGAGAGGACGAUCAGUCACACUGGAACUGAGACACGGUCCAGACUCCUACGGGAGGCAGCAGUGAGGAAUUUUGGACAAUGGGGGAAACCCUGAUCCAGCGACGCCGCGUGUGGGAUGAAUGGGUUAUGCCCUGUAAACCACUGUCAGCAGAGAAGAAAAGGUUCCUUUGGAACCCGGGACUGUAUCUGCAGAGGAAGGACCGGCUAACUACGUG
This 349-nucleotide ribosomal RNA is filed under the name uncultured bacterium. Its description in RNAcentral is "bacterial SSU rRNA". It matches the Rfam family "Bacterial small subunit ribosomal RNA", at positions 142 to 507 of the family's 1533-position model. The record is from RNAcentral.